AUCCAGUUGAAGAGCCCCAAAUAGGACGAAACGUGCGUCCUGGGU
RNAcentral lists this non-coding RNA (45 nucleotides) under Schistosoma margrebowiei. Lineage: Eukaryota; Metazoa; Platyhelminthes; Trematoda; Strigeidida; Schistosomatidae. The record is from RNAcentral.